RNAcentral lists this long non-coding RNA (522 nucleotides) under Homo sapiens (human). Its description in RNAcentral is "HSALNT0156222". The record is from RNAcentral. Lineage: Eukaryota; Metazoa; Chordata; Mammalia; Primates; Hominidae.
UGGUCACUCGUCAAUGGCCGGCUGCCUUCUGGAAAGCUGCUGCUGCGCGACAGUGACCCUGGGUGGAGUGAGGCAUCCACGGGUGCUCGCUCCCAGAGAUGGAGGCCGGAGCCCUGAGCAGAGGCGCCGGCUGUGCCCCGGUCCUCUGUGGCCCCCAGGGCUGCAGAGCUGGGCAGGUCGAUUCCCUUGUCACUCCUAAAAGAACAUUUGAAGCCCCCAGCAGGCUGGUGUGGGCACCCCAGUUCCUCAGCUACUCUGGGCUCUCCUUCCCCAGAGGCUGUGGGACCUGCCUUCCGGCCUCCGUCACAUGACCGCACAGCGAGGAGGCGCUUCUGUGAACCAGGAGGUGGCCCUCACCACGCAGAAACUGUGGGCGCCUUCAUCUUGGACUUCCAGCCUCCAGAACUGUGAAGGAUUGGUUUCUGUGGUUGACGAGGCAUCCGGUCUAUGGUUACUUUAUUCUAGAGCCCAACUGGGCCAAGGUGAUUACCCCAACCAGGUGGGAAGCCAUUUCUGUGGGGG